Molecule: long non-coding RNA, 1103 nt
Filed under: Nicotiana tabacum (common tobacco)
Lineage: Eukaryota; Viridiplantae; Streptophyta; Magnoliopsida; Solanales; Solanaceae
Description: long non-coding RNA (NTAB_LNC014559)
Source: RNAcentral
CCAAAAGAAUCAUCUAUUCAAGUCUUUGUUUGAAUUUACAUACACAAAUAUUCAUAACAUGCCACAGAAAAAAUAUAUCAAACGGAUAUCAAAAUCGACCAUCGGCUACAAAUACAUUAAAAAUAUUCACAUAUACAAGUUCAUAUUUUUGCAUACAAUAUUAACCAUUUCUACUCCCACAUGGACCUUUGAAUUUCUUCUGCAUUGCUUAUGUGGAUUACUUAUAGAGAAGUUCUAAUUGGCCGUGACUUUCUAUCUAGUGGUUAUCAUAUUUGCGCCCGUCAAUAUUUGUUCUUUCAGCUUGAGAAGCACAAACUCCCGGCAUUUGAGGCAAUAUAUUUUUUUAAUAUCACAUAAGACUAAUAAACAUUAUUGAUAGAAAGUGAUGUCGAUAUUUAACAACAAUCAGGAGCACAAACUCUAAUGAAGUUCAAAUAUUGUUUUACAUGCUCUCCUUGGCAGCUCUUCGGCUCCAUUUUCUUCCCAAAAAAUAUUGAAAAAAUGAGACUUUGAUAAUGGAGAGGAGAGUCCUCUCUAUAGUUAUUUCUUUUAACAAAUGCACACUAAAAGAAGUUAUAAAUAAUUAUAGAAAGGAAAAAGGGAAAUACGUAUAAAAUAAAGAAAGAUAAAUACCUUUGAUGGCCUAAUUUGCAUAUGCUUCGCAUUGUUGGAGGCAACAAAGUAGAGGGGCUUAUAUGAGCCAAAAAAGCAAGGCCGUUACUAUUUAUUGUGACUCUUCACUCUUUUUCUAUCCCCACUAAUACAACUCUUCAUUGCUUUCUUUAUUAGCACAAUUAGUAAAUAAAUAAAUAAGAACGGGCAAGGCAACUGAAGGGGUAUAUAACCAAUGUGCACUUCAAUUAUAAGUUAAUUAAUUCAUUUCUCUCUUUUUAUAUUCCAUAACUGAAUUCUCUUCAUAACAAAGUAGUAAUUGCACUUUUUUGUAUAUUCCAUAACUGAAAUCUCCUCAUCCAUAAGCCUCAUCAGUUUCGUUAUUAGUUCUAGGUAGUAAAUAAUUUUUUUGUAUUAAAAUUAGAAAAAAAAUCUGAAAAAACCAGAAAAAAGAUAAAUAUGAAAGUUGGCCAUAUAGGGAUGCCACAUCA